This 439-nucleotide ribosomal RNA is filed under the name uncultured bacterium. RNAcentral's name for it is "partial 16S ribosomal RNA". It matches the Rfam family "Bacterial small subunit ribosomal RNA", at positions 339 to 795 of the family's 1533-position model. The record is from RNAcentral.
CUACGGGGCGCUGCAGUGAGGAAUAUUGCACAAUGGGGGGAACCCUGAUGCAGCAACGCCGCGUGGAGGAUGGCGCAUUUCGGUGUGUAAACUCCUUUUAUAUGUCAAGAAAAUGACGGUAGCAUAUGAAUAAGCACCGGCUAACUCCGUGCCAGCAGCCGCGGUAAUACGGAGGGUGCAAGCGUUACUCGGAAUCACUGGGCGUAAAGGACGCGUAGGCGGGUUGGAAAGUCAGGUGUGAAAUCCUACAGCUUAACUGUAGAACUGCACUUGAAACUUCUAAUCUAGAGUAUGGGAGGGGGAGAUGGAGUUAGUGGUGUAGGGGUAAAAUCCGUAGAUAUCACUAGGAAUACCUAAAGCGAAGGCGAUCUCCUGGAACAUUACUGACGCUAAGGCGUGAAAGCGUGGGGAGCAAACAGGAUUAGAUACCCCUGUAGUC